GAUGAACGCUGGCGGCGUGCCUAACACAUGCAAGUCGAACGUAGCAAUUAAGAUGAAGUUUUCGGAUGGAAUCUUGAUUGACUGAGUGGCGGACGGGUGAGUAACGCGUGGAUAACCUGCCUCACACUGGGGGAUAACAGUUAGAAAUGACUGCUAAUACCGCAUAAGCGCACAGUGCCGCAUGGCAGUGUGUGAAAAACUCCGGUGGUGUGAGAUGGAUCCGCGUCUGAUUAGCCAGUUGGCGGGGUAACGGCCCACCAAAGCGACGAUCAGUAGCCGACCUGAGAGGGUGACCGGCCACAUUGGGACUGAGACACGGCCCAAACUCCUACGGGAGGCAGCAGUGGGGAAUAUUGCACAAUGGGCGAAAGCCUGAUGCAGCGACGCCGCGUGAGUGAAGAAGUAUUUCGGUAUGUAAAGCUCUAUCAGCAGGGAAGAAAAUGACGGUACCUGACUAAGAAGCCCCGGCUAACUACGUGCCAGCAGCCGCGGUAAUACGUAGGGGGCAAGCGUUAUCCGGAUUUACUGGGUGUAAAGGGAGCGUAGACGGCGAAGCAAGUCUGAAGUGAAAACCCAGGGCUCAACCCUGGGACUGCUUUGGAAACUGUUUUGCUAGAGUGUCGGAGAGGUAAGUGGAAUUCCUAGUGUAGCGGUGAAAUGCGUAGAUAUUAGGAGGAACACCAGUGGCGAAGGCGGCUUACUGGACGAUAACUGACGUUGAGGCUGGAAAGCGUGGGGAGCAAAACAGGAUUAGAUACCCUGGUAGUCCACGCCGUAAACGAUGAAUGCUAGGUGUGGGGGGGCAAAGCCCUUCGGUGCCGCCGCAAACGCAGUAAGCAUUCCACCUGGGGAGUACGUUCGCAAGAAUGAAACUCAAAGGAAUUGACGGGGACCCGCACAAGCGGUGGAGCAUGUGGUUUAAUUCGAAGCAACGCGAAGAACCUUACCAAGUCUUGACAUCCCCCUGACGGGCCGGUAACGCGGCCUUUCCUUCGGGACAGGGGAGACAGGUGGUGCAUGGUUGUCGUCAGCUCGUGUCGUGAGAUGUUGGGUUAAGUCCCGCAACGAGCGCAACCCUUAUCCUUAGUAGCCAGCACGUGAAGGUGGGCACUCUAGGGAGACUGCCAGGGAUAACCUGGAGGAAGGUGGGGAUGACGUCAAAUCAUCAUGCCCCUUAUGAUUUGGGCUACACACGUGCUACAAUGGCGUAAACAAAGGGAAGCGAGACAGUGAUGUGGAGCAAAUCCCAAAAAUAACGUCCCAGUUCGGACUGUAGUCUGCAACCCGACUACACGAAGCUGGAAUCGCCAGUAAUCGCGAAUCAGAAUGUCGCGGUGAAUACGUUCCCGGGUCUUGUACACACCGCCCGUCACACCAUGGGAGUCAGCAACGCCCGAAGUCAGUGACCCAACCGAAAGGAGGGAGCUGCCGAAGG
Molecule: ribosomal RNA, 1435 nt
Filed under: uncultured organism
Description: 16S ribosomal RNA
Rfam family: Bacterial small subunit ribosomal RNA
Source: RNAcentral